UCCCUUAGAUGUCCUGGGCUGCACGCGCGCUACACUGAUGUGUCCAGUAAGCACCUAACCUCUUCCGAAAGGAACGGGUAACCUUUGCAAAGCACAUCGUGAUGGGGAUAGAUUAUUGCAAUUAUUAGUCUUGAACGAGGAAUUCCUAGUAAGCACAAGUCAUCAGCUUGUGUUGAUUACGUCCCUGCCCUUUGUACACACCGCCCGUCGCUCCUACCGAUUGAAUGUUCCGGUGAGCUCUUCGGACUGCGCGGUCUGCAGUUUCUGCGUUCCGUGCGGAAAGUUGCGCAAACCUUAACAUUUAGAGGAAGGAGAAGUCGUAACA
Molecule: ribosomal RNA, 325 nt
Filed under: uncultured eukaryote
Lineage: Eukaryota
Description: partial 18S ribosomal RNA
Rfam family: Eukaryotic small subunit ribosomal RNA
Source: RNAcentral